UGCAAGGGUUAUUGGAUCUGGUGGAUCCU
RNAcentral lists this small RNA (29 nucleotides) under Bombyx mori (domestic silkworm). Its description in RNAcentral is "ovarian small RNA-33370". The record is from RNAcentral. Lineage: Eukaryota; Metazoa; Arthropoda; Insecta; Lepidoptera; Bombycidae.